This 466-nucleotide ribosomal RNA is filed under the name uncultured bacterium. RNAcentral's name for it is "partial 16S ribosomal RNA". It matches the Rfam family "Bacterial small subunit ribosomal RNA", at positions 28 to 507 of the family's 1533-position model. The record is from RNAcentral.
GAUGAACGCUGGCGGCGUGCUUAACACAUGCAAGUCGAACGAUGAAGCUCAGCUUGCUGGGUGGAUUAGUGGCGAACGGGUGAGUAACACGUGAGUAACCUGCCCUUAACUCUGGGAUAAGCCUGGGAAACUAGGUCUAAUACCGGAUAGGAGCGCCUACCGCAUGGUGGGUGUUGGAAAGAUUUAUCGGUUUUGGAUGGACUCGCGGCCUAUCAGCUUGUUGGUGAGGUAUUGGCUCACGAAGGCGACGACGGGUAGCCGGCCUGAGAGGGUGACCGGCCACACUGGGACUGAGACACGGCCCAGACUCCUACGGGAGGCAGCAGUGGGGAAUAUUGCACAAUGGGCGAAAGCCUGAUGCAGCGACGCCGCGUGAGGGAUGACGGCCUUCGGGUUGUAAACCUCUUUCAGUAGGGAAGAAGCGAAAGUGACGGUACCUGCAGAAGAAGCACCGGCUAACUACGUG